RNAcentral lists this ribosomal RNA (427 nucleotides) under uncultured bacterium. RNAcentral describes it as "bacterial SSU rRNA". It matches the Rfam family "Bacterial small subunit ribosomal RNA", at positions 74 to 507 of the family's 1533-position model. The record is from RNAcentral.
GCGGCUUCGGCCAAUGGAAGAUCGGUUUAGUGGCGAACGGGUGAGUAACACGUGAGGAACCUGCCUUUCAGUGGGGGACAACAGUUGGAAACGACUGCUAAUACCGCAUAACGUAUGACGGUGGCAUCACCGAUAUACCAAAGGAGCAAUCCGCUGAAAGAUGAGCUCGCGUCUGAUUAGAUAGUUGGUGGGGUAACGGCCUACCAAGUCGACGAUCAGUAGCCGGACUGAGAGGUUGAACGGCCACAUUGGGACUGAGACACGGCCCAGACUCCUGCGGGAGGCAGCAGUGGGGAAUAUUGCACAAUGGGCGCAAGCCUGAUGCAGCAACGCCGCGUGAGGGAAGACGGUCUUCGGAUUGUAAACCUCUGUCCUUGGUGACGAAUAAAUGACGGUAGCCUUGGAGGAAGCCACGGCUAACUACGUG